RNAcentral lists this ribosomal RNA (744 nucleotides) under uncultured Hyphomicrobiales bacterium. RNAcentral describes it as "bacterial SSU rRNA". It matches the Rfam family "Bacterial small subunit ribosomal RNA", at positions 8 to 796 of the family's 1533-position model. The record is from RNAcentral. Lineage: Bacteria; Pseudomonadati; Pseudomonadota; Alphaproteobacteria; Hyphomicrobiales.
AGAGUUUGAUCCUGGCUCAGAGCGAACGCUGGCGGCAGGCUUAACACAUGCAAGUCGAACGGGCACCUUCGGGUGUCAGUGGCAGACGGGUGAGUAACACGUGGGAACGUGCCCAUCGGUUCGGAACAACCCAGGGAAACUUGGGCUAAUACCGAAUACGACCUUACGGUGAAAGAUUUAUCGCCGAUGGAUCGGCCCGCGUCUGAUUAGCUAGUUGGUGAGGUAAUGGCUCACCAAGGCGACGAUCAGUAGCUGGUCUGAGAGGAUGAUCAGCCACACUGGGACUGAGACACGGCCCAGACUCCUACGGGAGGCAGCAGUGGGGAAUAUUGGACAAUGGGCGAAAGCCUGAUCCAGCCAUGCCGCGUGAGUGAUGAAGGCCUUAGGGUUGUAAAGCUCUUUCGACGGGGACGAUAAUGACGGUACCCGUAGAAGAAGCCCCGGCUAACUUCGUGCCAGCAGCCGCGGUAAUACGAAGGGGGCUAGCGUUGCUCGGAAUCACUGGGCGUAAAGGGCGCGUAGGCGGCCGAUCAAGUCAGAGGUGAAAGCCCAAGGCUCAACCUUGGAAUUGCCUUUGAUACUGUUCGGCUCGAGACCGGAAGAGGUAAGUGGAACUGCGAGUGUAGAGGUGAAAUUCGUAGAUAUUCGCAAGAACACCAGUGGCGAAGGCGGCUUACUGGUCCGGUUCUGACGCUGAGGCGCGAAAGCGUGGGGAGCAAACAGGAUUAGAUACCCCGGUAGUCC